Molecule: RNA transcript, 3978 nt
Organism: Varroa destructor (honeybee mite)
Lineage: Eukaryota; Metazoa; Arthropoda; Arachnida; Mesostigmata; Varroidae
Source: RefSeq, a predicted model, not a curated record
UUUGUACAGGACAAAGGCCACAACUACUCGCUAUGAGUACGACCAAAUUUCGCGUCACAUCGAUUUCACCUUUAAAAGUAGUUGGGCUGCCUAAGCAAUAUUCUGCAAAUCUUAGCCAUAUAUCAUCAAUGUUUUACAUUAUGUUUAACCACAGAAUUAAGUAACAGACAAUGUACUUUACAACUGGUGCUUUCCACGACUCAUGCAUAAUGUCAGAUCGGUAUUCUCUAAGGUCUCUAACAGGCUGUACCACGGUUAAGGGCCGUUUUUUAUGUUCUUUUGCCUUUUUCAUCUUGCCAUUGUUUACUUCGACAUAGUAUUCAAGAGUAUUCCCUCUUCUUUAUAGAGCUGUUGCAAUUUAAUUGUGCAUUGAAUGGAAAUCGAUGUUGAAUUCAGGCUCCGAGUAAUAGAUGAAAAAUAGUGCAGUUUUGAUACUUCGUUUACUUUGCCUUUUGCCGACAUUAAAAGCGGACGAGGCGGCGUGGGAUGUCUGUGCUAUGCGCAGUAGGUCCCCAUAAUUGAGAGAGAACUGUUUAAAAUCCGCUACUAAGCUUAACAAAAAGCCGAAAACUGCCGUCUUGGAUCCCGAAAGUCUACCCCAACCACCCGAAGUUCAUGAGAACGUUAGAUGAUAAACAGCCGAUGACUAGCCGAGAAGCUAACUGUGCAUACAAGUGCACUCUAUGAGGCAGCUUCGCGGUUCGAGACUUCGUCACCGGAGCCAAUCGGCGAUUUUGAGUACCCAACAUCACCGCUCAUGGUCCGCAAGAGUGUAGACCUCUCUUCAACUUUGGAAAUUAGCAUUGAAGAUGACAGCGAUGGACAACAGGAUAAACAAGCAUUUUUGGGUAAGUGCAAGGACGAGUCCAUAGAAUUAGAGGAUCCACUGAAGCAGUCGCCGCAUAGGAAAUUCCCUUUAAGGUCCCUCCGCGUCAAAGCUAAAACAGACGCCAAUUCACAGAAUGAGAGCGGGUUCGGCUGGCUGGAGUCGCCUGACGGCGUUUCAGAGGAUGAAAAUCCGCAACGAGGGUUUCAAGUGGAGGAUAACGUUGGCGAUGCUCUAUUAGCAUUACCCGAAUGUCCAGUAAAUAUAGCAAAAAUGCUUCCGUUAGCUAAAGGACAUUGUAAAGAUGAAGACAUCACUAAGUCUCAGCGUUCUUCAUUUUUCGAAAGGAAACGACUUGAACUAAUCGCUUCCCCUAUGGAAAACGUGUGUGUAACGUCGAACGGACAUAGAGAAACUGAGCACGAAAUGGGCAAUCAGGAAACUGCUGUCUCUGUACAAACGCUGCCAAGCGUGACAGACGAGUAUGACGAUGACAGUCCAGCCACACCUGGCUGUGAAGGCCUUUCAUUGCUAUGCCCUUCUGAUGUUGGGAUUCAGAACAAUGUCAUCAAUUCUAGCGAUGAAUCAUGUCUGGCAGUGACGAAGGACGGCACGAAGCUACAAGGCUCCCAAGUCGAGCGGGAAAAACAUCCUGGAAUUAAUAAUCAGCGAAUAGACAUCCGACCUGCCUAUUGUCAGCCUGAUUCCAUUGUUGUGGAUACAAUGCAGGUUCUAUAUGAUUUAGUGCAGGAGGUCACCCUAUGUAUUUCUAGCACCGAAAUUGAGAAGGGCAGCGCAUCUGAGCAUGCCAAGAAGACAUGUCUUAUUAUUGUUAAUUCCCCAAAGACUCCUGUAAUUGAAAGUACUAAUAGAUACGAUCUUGCAUUAGAGGAUGAUGUUAACUUCGAUUGUCGAAGCAAGGCGCUUCAUUUGGAAUCCUCCCGCUUGGACGAUUCCACAUCUGAUGCUGGAGACGUGAAUAGAUCGAACAGUCACUUAUUUCUGGAUCGUAAAAAUUUGGCUGUAGAUGAGGGUUCGGGCGACCUAUCGCUCGAGCGGACCAUCUCUAUAUCGUCUGGAUCAGACACAUCGUCAUCAUUCUUUGACGAAGAUGAGCACGAAGUAGAUCCUGACGGGCCGCUUUGGCGUCAGAACUUUCUUGGGCAGUGUGUGCUUCUAGUAGAAAAGAGGUUCCAAAAAGCCUAUGCCAAUACAUGUAUUAAACCACUUUGUGCACAGUUCAAUAAUGUCUAUGAAGUCACUAAUGACGCUGAUCGACUGCCUACAUCGGAAUUGGAUAUUCACCAGAAUAUUAUGGUCAUGAGCGACAGCCAAGUUACACACCGUCACCCAUUUACCCAGCAGGAGACUAAGCAAUUGGUCUGCAAUUUCAUCAAUAUGGCGACGGCGUUCCGUAUGAGAUUUCCGUAUCUUCUUGCCGGGAUCCAGACGGGACUGGAGACAAAAAAAGAUAUCUUUGUUUUUUCUGAAUUUAAAGAUGAACAUCGAGUCUUUGCCAAACUUUGUUUUGGACUUGCCAAAAGGCGUGUUCUGGAAUGUAUUACUCAGCUUCGACUUGUGCUGGAGUCUGAUCUAGUUACCGAUGACGCUAGAGAGCUCGAACUAUUAGUUAAUAGACUGUUCACCGGGUUUGGACCAGAAUGGCCGACAAUCGCUCGUAUAACAGGAAUUAGUCAGACGGCAAUAAAGGACAUUUUGAUUCAAACGAACAAUAUGAACAUUCGCGAACCGACUCCAUGGUUUGUCGUGCACGAAUGUUUGUUGAAGGAAAAGAGAUUCGUUCCUCGUCCCAGUCGUCAUAGUCCAUUGCCAGAGAUCCCUCGGCAACCACAGUCAUUCAGUCUGCACACAACGAUGUCCUGUCUCAGUAAAAGUACUCUGCGCAACUCUAAUAAGACACGGAGCAAUGUAAACAAUCGUAGCGUUCCAAUACAACAGCUAUGCGGUAUGUCUAAGUUACGAGACGUUUGUAUUGCCAAGCAUAAACGGACCACUAAUUGCUUACACCAGGGUAUGAAAACGAACGAGAAACAACCGUCUCGAGCUCCGUUACUUCAAGCUAUGGACAGAAACAGAAAAAAAGCAGAACAGGACGUGCUAACAGGACCAUCUGAUCAGAACUUGAACGCCAAUCAAAAUACUGCAACGGGCAUUUUAGUGAACGCUACACCGCGUCCUAAGGACCAUCUAAACUGCGAAAUGGACACACAGAAACAAACAAUCUUAACGGGUGCUUGCAAAUCAGAACCUACAUCAAUCUCUGAUCAAGUCAUCGUGCGGGAGCUAGUUCUGCCGGUUACGGAGAUAAAACCUGUCCCACUUCAGACCGAUUCCACUUUGGCUCAGCGGUCUGUUUCUCGACUGAAACAUUUAUUAGAAAAUAAUAAAAUUUCUACCACGGUGCCCUCAUCUUCAAGACCUCCUGUGGCAAAACAGUUGGGUACACCUAUGGGUUUUACGAAAGAAUCUCAUCAUCUGUCCGUAGCAGUUAUGUCGCACGCUGUAUCUUCUCCCGUUCAACAAGAGUUAUCGGUGCCAGUGGUUCUAUUGAAGUCACCCAAGCGGUUGGGAAAAAGAUCUCAUCAAAUUGCGGAAUUAGACGGUACACCUGCUCGAGAGGAACCUACGCGCAAAGUUCGCAGGAUAUCCUUAUGGAGAGACGAGACGGCUGGCUUCUCCAAUGACAACGAGAACGUUAGUUUGUCGAGGCCAAAUCAAUUUGUCGCUUGAAACUUACAGUCGGCUCAAUGUUGGCCCCAAAGCGGUCAGCGAUGAAAAUCAAGGACAUCCAACAAAAGCCAGUCUCCUCUCGGCGACUUUAUUACGGUAGUAAUUCCCGGGUGAGGCAAAUCGCUUUAUGGCCAUAGAUGCACGUGGAAGAGCAUGUUAAGAGGAAACUACCAUUAGAACUGAAGAACGCGUAGCGGGCAAGUCUUAACCUUUUGAUUUGGAGGGGUUUUACUCCAGAAAGAAGUGAAUACACGUGAAACAAGUAACAUGGUUUGAGCUGCUGACGAAUUCGAUACGAGCUUAUCUAGGCCGCUUCUUUCUGUACCUACCGACAAGAGCCGCACCGUAGGUCAGGGAGGUGAACACCUGGAAAAUUCGCUUCGUCGUUAAAUCGCCGAGGA